Characodon lateralis is the source of this 75-nucleotide non-coding RNA. Lineage: Eukaryota; Metazoa; Chordata; Actinopteri; Cyprinodontiformes; Goodeidae. The record is from the annotation of a GenBank genome assembly.
AUGGCGACUGUGGCUCAGUAGGAAGAGUAGUUGUCCUGCAAUCAGAAGGUUGUAGGUUUGAUUCCUCCUGCCAUA